This is a long non-coding RNA of Carassius auratus (goldfish), 2079 nucleotides long. RefSeq lists it as uncharacterized. The record is from RefSeq and is a predicted model, not a curated record. NCBI's taxonomy places the organism in Eukaryota, Metazoa, Chordata, Actinopteri, Cypriniformes, Cyprinidae. The transcript is spliced from 2 exons.
UGUCUGUUUGUCAGGUUACUGGAGUACUGAUGGCUGUAAUACUAUCAUCGACGGAGGAGACUUUGUGUGCAGUUGUAAUCAUCUGAGCUUUUUUGCAGUGCUCAUAGAGCUGGCUCCAGAAAUAUUCCAAAUGUGUAUCUGAGUUCAGGAGGGUUGCUCAAGUUCAGUCCAUAUAUCAGUCCCAUCAGCAUGGGUGUAAACUGCUAGGUCCUGAAGAACUUUAUCUUCCAACAUCUGCUGGACUGUCUCCAAUGAUGCAGCUUCAAAUAGAUUCCCACGAGUCUUCUGGAUCACCUCCUGAUUGCUGGCAACGUCUGUAUCCUAGAAGUAUUUAAAACGACGGAGUACUCAAAUUCUUGUGUAUUGUCUUUACCAAAGCAUUUAUUAACCUUGAAAUAUGAAAAAUAAAUAAAUAAAACUCACCAUAAACUCCAUAGUGCUAGGGUCUUUAUGUGGAUACUUCAAUUUCAUUAGUCUGAAGAUGAAAACAACCAAAUUUAGCCAGAUCAGCACAGAAAGCCACUGUCCUGCAGAGUUUAGCAAUAUUCCUAAUUAAAGGGAUAGUUCACCCAAAAAUGAAAAUUCUAUCAUUAACUGCUCAACCUUCAUGUCUUUCUAAACCCGCAAGAUCUUCGGUCAACUUCAGAACACAAAUUAAGAUUUUUUUGAUGAAAUCCAAGAGCUUUCUGACCCUGCAUGGUGAGCAACAUGACUGGAAUGUUCCCAGACAAUUUUUGUUUGCUUUACACACAAAAAGUAUUUUCAAAGCUUCGUAAAAGUGCGAUUGAACCACUGAUGUCACAUGGACUGUUUUAAUGAUGUCCUUACUUUGACUCUGGGUCUGGGAACAUUUCAGUUGCAUAGCCGCCUUUAUGGAGGUUCAGAAAGCUCUUGCAUCUUGAUAAAAAUAUCAUCAUUUGUGUUCUGUAGAUGAAUGAUGGUCUUACGGCUUUGAAACGACAUGAGGGUAAUUAAUGACAUGUUUAUUUUCUGGGUUAUGUAGCCAUUUAAACACAUCUGAACCAGUUAAUCAUUUUUGAGAAUUUUAAAACAAAAACAAAGUCUUAGAAGUUCCAGGCACAUAAAACUGGCUUUCCUAGAGCAGGUUUGGAAACCCCUGCCUUGCAUCAAAAUAAAUAGUUUUUGGGAGGCUAAGUCCAGUAAGUGAUCAUCUUGAAAUAUUACUAACAUUAUAAAAAUUAUUCUUACAUUUACUUCAUGAAAAUCAUUUAAGUAAAGUAAAAGUAAAUCAUUCACAAUAAAAAGACAUGUCUGCCUCGUCCUGAGGGAUACGACCUGAAGAUAUAAAAUAUUAAUCAGAUUUCCAGCAUAGUUUUGAUCACGUAUCGAUGAAAGAAGAUUAUUUGAGAAAUAAUUUGGUCUCAGUGUGUGUGUUUUUCUACAUAAUGGAAGACAAUUAUAAUCAGAAUGGUUCGGUUACCAGCAUUCUUCAAAUGUAUCUUGUAUUCUGCAAAAAAAGGAAGUCAUACAGGUUUGGAAUGACAUGAGGGUGAGUAAAUAAUGAAUGUGUUAUAUCCCCAUGAGUCAGAUUUAAUAAUAAUAUAAUUGCAGUGUUAUAUUAAACAUUAUACAAAAUGUUUAAAUCAUUUAUGAAAUAUGAUGAAAAAAGGAGGCAAAUGGAGCAUUAAGGAAAAAAAAAACGUUUGAACACUUAAAACAUAAAAAAAAACCUCAACAAUUAAAACAUCAGCUUAAAUGUGGGGGUAUAGACAAAUACAAUUAUCAUUUUUAAGUUUUAAUGUCUCUCAGGAGUGUAUCAUUGAUAAAGACUGUGAGAAGGGCAGCCAAUGUCUGUAUGAAACACAGAGCGCAAAGUGUCUGUCCUGCAAACACACUGAUGCAGUAAGCACUUUCCAAUUUCUCAGACCAGGCACAUUUUUAGGUACACUUAAGCUCUGCUACUAUCCAGUAAAAUAUCAUCUAGUUUGCUUAUUACAUGUUAGGUGUUCAGCCUAGUCUCUGUUUAUUUUUAUUUGCUCAUGACUUUUUGCUUUCUCUGGGUCUCUGUACAAAUAUUAUACUCAGCAAUGUGGCUUUCCAAUAAAAUGAUGCAGCUGA